This 429-nucleotide ribosomal RNA is filed under the name Pseudomonadota bacterium. RNAcentral describes it as "Proteobacteria bacterium partial 16S ribosomal RNA". It matches the Rfam family "Bacterial small subunit ribosomal RNA", at positions 355 to 776 of the family's 1533-position model. The record is from RNAcentral. Lineage: Bacteria; Pseudomonadati; Pseudomonadota.
UGGGGAAUAUUGGACAAUGGGCGAAAGCCUGAUCCAGCCAUGCCGCGUGUGUGAAGAAGGUCUUCGGAUUGUAAAGCACUUUAAGUUGGGAGGAAGGGCAGUAAGCGAAUACCUUGCUGUUUUGACGUUACCGACAGAAUAAGCACCGGCUAACUCUGUGCCAGCAGCCGCGGUAAUACAGAGGGUGCAAGCGUUAAUCGGAAUUACUGGGCGUAAAGCGCGCGUAGGUGGUUCGUUAAGUUGAAUGUGAAGGCCCCGGGCUCAACCUGGGAACUGCAUCCAAAACUGGCGAGCUAGAGUAGGGCAGAGGGUGGUGGAAUUUCCUGUGUAGCGGUGAAAUGCGUAGAUAUAGGAAGGAACACCAGUGGCGAAGGCGACCACCUGGGCUCAUACUGACACUGAGGUGCGAAAGCGUGGGGAGCAAACAGG